UUCAUGGAGAGUUUGAUCCUGGCUCAGGACGAACGCUGGCGGCGUGCCUAAUACAUGCAAGUCGAGCGGACGGAUGAAGAAGCUUGCUUCUUCAGAAGUUAGCGGCGGACGGGUGAGU
Molecule: ribosomal RNA, 118 nt
Filed under: Paenibacillus zeirhizosphaerae
Lineage: Bacteria; Bacillati; Bacillota; Bacilli; Caryophanales; Paenibacillaceae
Description: partial 16S ribosomal RNA
Rfam family: Bacterial small subunit ribosomal RNA
Source: RNAcentral